Molecule: ribosomal RNA, 496 nt
Filed under: uncultured bacterium
Lineage: Bacteria
Description: partial 16S ribosomal RNA
Rfam family: Bacterial small subunit ribosomal RNA
Source: RNAcentral
GGUGAACGCUGGCGGCGUGCCUAAUACAUGCAAGUCGAGCGAACGGACGAGAAGCUUGCUUCUCUGAUCUUAGCGGCGGACGGGUGAGUAACACGUGGAUAACCUACCUAUAAGACUGGGAUAACUUCGGGAAACCGUAGCUAAUACCGGAUAAUAUUUUGAACCGCAUGGUUCAAAAGUGAAAGACGGUCUUGCUGUCACUUAUAGAUGGAUCCGCGCUGCAUUAGCUAGUUGGUAAGGUAACGGCUUACCAAGGCAACGAUGCAUAGCCGACCUGAGAGGGUGAGCGGCCACACUGGAACUGAGACACGGUCCAGACUCCUACGGGAGGAAGCAGUAGGGAAUCUUCCGCAAUGGGCGAAAGCAUGACGGAGCAACGCCGCGUGAGUGAUGAAGGUCUUCGGAUCGUAAAACUCUGUUAUUAGGGAAGAACAUAUGUGUAAGUAACUGUGCACAUCUUGACGGUACCUAAUCAGAAAGCCACGGCUAACUACGU